This is an RNA transcript of Panicum virgatum (switchgrass), 1927 nucleotides long. RefSeq lists it as uncharacterized. NCBI's taxonomy places the organism in Eukaryota, Viridiplantae, Streptophyta, Magnoliopsida, Poales, Poaceae. The record is from RefSeq and is a predicted model, not a curated record. The transcript is spliced from 6 exons.
CGCCUCCGCCGCCCCCCCCCCUUCCGCUCUCGCCCUCGCCUCCCCCGCUCCCGCGCCGAUGCGCGCUGCGGAUCCGCGACUUCCCGGCAUCGAUCCCCCACGCGCGGUGCGCGCGACCGCCGUCCCCGAAGCCCCGACGCCAUCUCUCCCCGCCCGCUCAUUGCCGUGCGCGCCUCUCUUACCCCUCUCCGGUCUCCGCUUCUCCGCGCCUGCGUGCGAUGUCCCGCCGCGGCAGCCGCCAUCUCCGCCACGCUCGACGACCCCACCACGCGGCUGCCCUGCCGGCGCGGAUCCCCCACGCGCGGUGCGUGCAGCCGCCGCCCUCCACGCCUACAUCGCGCGAGAGGCCGCGACUGGGAGAGGCGAGAACGCCGCGGGGCCCUGGGGCUGCUGGUGGCGGUCGGACGUCGUGUCCCAGCAAGAUAAUCGAAGCUGGGCACUGGGCAGGGCGUCACUAGGGGCGGGAGAAGGUUCGAUCCGUUCAAGAUCACGCGAAGUUAAGCUGGGCAGGGCUGCCGACGUUGUUGAAGGGCCGCGUCCCCGGCACCAGCGAGAGACUGUACUUAGCCGUGCGUUGUUGCAUACAGCUCCUUGUGUAUUCUUGUGUGAUCCUGCUAGACAAGAGGGCCUGAGUGGAGACAACUCAGGCGACGGAAUUAGUCUUUGUUUGUUAGAGUUCAGCAAAUUCAGUUGUAGCAAGGCACUGUGCCUUAUAGAGAGAUGGGGCUUCAAUUGCUCAACACCGUAAGUUUAGCCACCACUGCCCUUUUCUUUCAAUUCUCAGACUAAAUGCUUGUUUGUUAGAGUUCAGCAAAUUCAGUUGUAGCAAGGCACUGUGCCUUAUGGAGAGAUGGGGCUUCAGUUGUCCAACGCCCAUGAACCUAUUUUUGGAAGCCUAAGUAUGUUCAUUCCAAGUUUCAUCUACAGACUGGUACUCUGGUUUCGCCAUUGUCUGGUUGCCCCACACAUUAAUCUGAGUCAAGUUCCUUCUCGAGAAGGACGCCAAUGUCAUCCUUGACAGCCACCUGAAUCACAGAUCUUAAAUACACCGAUACUUGUGUUUAUGACUCUAGAUGAAGUGCUUGAAGCUAAGACCAUUAUUCAAUAUCGUGUGAACGCCCAUAGCAUCUAAUAUCUACUCAUGGGAAGAGUUUCUGCGACUGGUUUUUGUAAGGCAAUGUUCACUAUCAUCAACAGAACCUGAAUUGUAGGUGGUAUUGUUUCCUGUCCAGCAAGAGCACUGAAUCAUCAUGAUAAUUUCAAUCUGACAGGAGCAAGACUGUGAGCUGCUACUGUGUGCAACAAUGAGGGGAGGCAGUAGUUAUAGCACUCAGUACCCAUGGGUGCUUAACACAUCGUGCGACCAUUGAAGCUAGAAUACCCCUCUGGCAACCCGUGAAACACUUUUAAACACACUGCAUUGACCAUGGAUUACGAGCUUAUGGUCAACCUGGAAAACUUAGACAUGAGGUUUAAUUUUCAGCUGCAUUACCUAGAUAAAUCACCAUAUGUACAUCGUUGUUCAGUUGCAACUACUGUGGCUCUAACAUGUCAUGUGGGGCCAGACCUACUCAAGUCGGCGCAGGGUUCGUGACUUGCGCAGGGCAGCAGAGGGCGCGGCUCCUUCGCGUGGAGCGCACGCUGAUCAGGAUUCAGGCAGGCCAAAGUGGCUAAUAGGAAAGUUAUCUAAUAAAGUCCCUCCGCGUGGAAUGCACGCUGAUCAGGCAGGCCAAAGUGGCUAAUAGGAAAGUUAUCUAAUAAAGUCCUUAUGUUUAGAAGUAUAGUGUCUUUAAGUUUAGGAGCAAGUUGCUCUGGAUAGUUGGCCACGGGCCUAUUUAUACUUGUAAACAGAUUCCAGGAAGGAUUAAGCAAUAUAUUAUUGUUGGAGUAAUGGGCUUGGCCCAUUACUUCUAAAGCAUUAAAAGAA